ACGUAGGGUACAAGCGUUGUCCGGAAUUACUGGGUGUAAAGGGAGCGCAGGCGGACCGGCAAGUUGGAAGUGAAAACUAUGGGCUCAACCCAUAAAUUGCUUUCAAAACUGCUGGCCUUGAGUAGUGCAGAGGUAGGUGGAAUUCCCGGUGUAGCGGUGGAAUGCGUAGAUAUCGGGAGGAACACCAGUGGCGAAGGCGACCUACUGGGCACCAACUGACGCUGAGGCUCGAAAGCAUGGGUAGCAAACAG
RNAcentral lists this ribosomal RNA (251 nucleotides) under uncultured bacterium. RNAcentral describes it as "partial 16S ribosomal RNA". It matches the Rfam family "Bacterial small subunit ribosomal RNA", at positions 525 to 775 of the family's 1533-position model. The record is from RNAcentral.